CCUACGGGUGGCAGCAGUGAGGAAUAUUGGUCAAUGGCCGGAAGGCUGAACCAGCCAAGCCGCGUGAAGGACGAAGGUGCCAAGCAUUGUAAACUUCUUUUGUCAAGGGACAAAAUUAGGCUCGAGAGUCUGACCGAGGGUACUUUACGAAAAAGCAUCGGCUAACUCCGUGCCAGCAGCCGCGGUAAUACGGAGGAUGCGAGCGUUAUCCGGAUUUAUUGGGUUUAACGGGUGCGUAGGCGGGGUGUUAAGUCAGCGGUAAAAGCCCGGGGCUAAACCCCGGCGAGCCGUUGAAACUGGCUAUCUAGAGAUGUCGAGAGGUAUGCGGAAUG
This 332-nucleotide ribosomal RNA is filed under the name uncultured bacterium. Its description in RNAcentral is "partial 16S ribosomal RNA". It matches the Rfam family "Bacterial small subunit ribosomal RNA", at positions 338 to 668 of the family's 1533-position model. The record is from RNAcentral.